GGUCAAGCUACUAAGGGCGCAUGGUGGAUGCCUUGGCAGAAGACGGCGAUGAAGGACGUGGCAAGCUGCGAUAAGCCUCGGGGAGCCGCAAGCAGGCUUUGAUCCGGGGAUUUCCGAAUGGGGAAACCCACGGGGGUAAAACCUCCGUACGGCCCGAUGAAUCCAUAGUCGGGCACGAGCAAACCCAGGGAAGUGAACCAUCUCAGUACCUGGAGGAAAAGAAAGAAACCUCGAUUGCGAAAGUAGUGGCGAGCGAAAUCGCAAGAGCCUAAACCUGUUCCACCCUCGGGUGUGACAGGGGUUGUAGGGUCUGCAACAGUAGAGUUACCAAUCCGGUCGUUAGUCGAAGUCCUCUGGAAAGAGGAGCCACAGAGUGUGAUAGCCACGUAGGCGAAAACGAACCGGACUCGAAGCAGAUACCUGAGUACCGCGGGGCACGAGAAACCCUGCGGGAAGCUACGGGGACCAUCCCGUAAGGCUAAAUACGUUCUUCUGACCGAUAGUGAACCAGUACCGUGAGGGAAAGGUGAAAAGAACCCCUGCGAGGGGAGUGAAAUAGUACCUGAAACCGUGUGCCUACAAACGGUGGGAGGACUAUGUCCACGCAAGUGGAAAUUGUCUGACCGCGUGCCUAUUGCAUAAUGAGCCGGCUAGUUAUUCUUGUCAGCAAGGUUAAGCGUAAGCGAGCCGCAGCGAAAGCGAGUCCUAAUAGGGCGACAAAGUUGGCAGGAAUAGACGCGAAGCGGGAUGAUCUACCCUUGGCCAGGCUGAAAGUAGGGUAAAACCUACUGGAGGGCCGAACGGGUGUUUGUUGAAAAAAGCUCCGAUGAGCUGAGGGUAGGGGUGAAAGGCUAAUCAAAUUCCGUGAUAGCUCGUUCUCUCCGAAAUAGCUUUAGGGCUAGCCUCGUGUGAUUUGUCGUGGUGGUAGA
This 929-nucleotide ribosomal RNA is filed under the name Terriglobia bacterium. Its description in RNAcentral is "partial 23S ribosomal RNA". It matches the Rfam family "Bacterial large subunit ribosomal RNA", at positions 1 to 906 of the family's 2925-position model. The record is from RNAcentral. Lineage: Bacteria; Pseudomonadati; Acidobacteriota; Terriglobia.